CAAAUGCUCCCCGCACUCCUCCUGGGGCUGGAAAGGGUUCGUUUAACCUCCGGCUUGCUAGUAAAGCUGAACUGCUAUGUCGUGGAAUGAUGCACGUCCAAAAAGUGUGUCCCCAACGUGAAAAGUUUGGAAAGCUCUGCACUAAGGAAAUACUUUGGCCAUACUCAAAAAGGGAAGUUCUGAGAGGCAGGUGGUGCCAAACAGACAAGAGAAAUAACCCUGAAGUGGUCACCAGGCUUUUGUUGUUCAGAGCUGCAGCAGUGCUGAAGUGACUCUCCUAUGAGCUAGGAAGCCCAUGGAUCAAACAGCACUUCAGCCAAGAAGUCAAAAGGUGGCUUUAGGCAAGCAGCCAGAGUCUCUCUUCUGUAAGUUGGGGAUGUGCACACUGGCCUACCUUACAGGGUUAUGGGAAAGGACCACCAAGACCUUGUCACAUGAAACUUGAAGCACAGAAGUGGAGGAAGCUGCCCAAUACAAAAUCAGCCUUAUCAAACUCAGUAUUGUCUACACUGACUGCCAGCAGUUCCAGGGGGGGUGGCUCAGGCAAUUGACAUUCAUUCCCAGUCUUACUUGCUCAGCCACUGAGCUAGGGACCUUCCUGCCCAGGAGUGUAGUGGGGUGUGUGUGUGUGCCAAAAACCCUGCCAAAACUGAAAUGAGGAUUCACUGUUUGGAGGUUAAUUUUUGCCCAACCCAAACCCAUGCCCCAGAAAUGCUUUCCUUCCCACACCUGUGAUUUGGCCUCUUCCGUUCUCGUUCACAGCAAUGCCAGCAGCAAGGCCUUGGAAGAUGUGGUUCCCACUGGAAUGAAAAGGGGUGAAGACACUGUCAGUGUUUUGUACAGUUUGCUUAUUUGUAUAACAGCACAAGACUUCAUUCGCUGCAUCAUAAUCACCAGACAAGACAGCUGCCUAUUUAGAAAUUGCUACUUAUUUGACAGGUCUGUUUCAGCCCAGUCGUGACCCUUAUGGUUUGCAGAUUAAUAAAAUCUGUUUCACACUU
This is a long non-coding RNA of Podarcis raffonei (Aeolian wall lizard), 1001 nucleotides long. RefSeq lists it as uncharacterized. The record is from RefSeq and is a predicted model, not a curated record. The transcript is spliced from 2 exons. Lineage: Eukaryota; Metazoa; Chordata; Lepidosauria; Squamata; Lacertidae.